Molecule: ribosomal RNA, 497 nt
Filed under: uncultured bacterium
Lineage: Bacteria
Description: partial 16S ribosomal RNA
Rfam family: Bacterial small subunit ribosomal RNA
Source: RNAcentral
GAUGAACGCUGGCGGCGUGCCUAAUACAUGCAAGUUGAGCGAACAGACGAGGAGCUUGCUCCUCUGACGUUAGCGGCGGACGGGUGAGUAACACGUGGAUAACCUACCUAUAAGACUGGGAUAACUCCGGGAAACCGGAGCUAAUACCGGAUAAUAUAUUGAACCGCAUGGUUCAAUAGUGAAAGACGGUUUUGCUGUCACUUAUAGAUGGAUCCGCGCCGCAUUAGCUAGUUGGUAAGGUAACGGCUUACCAAGGCGACGAUGCGUAGCCGACCUGAGAGGGUGAUCGGCCACACUGGAACUGAGACACGGUCCAGACUCCUACGGGAGGCAGCAGUAGGGAAUCUUCCGCAAUGGGCGAAAGCCUGACGGAGCAACGCCGCGUGAGUGAUGAAGGUCUUCGGAUCGUAAAACUCUGUUAUUAGGGAAGAACAAAUGUGUAAGUAACUAUGCACGUCUUGACGGUACCUAAUCAGAAAGCCACGGCUAACUACGUG